This 770-nucleotide ribosomal RNA is filed under the name Bacillus thuringiensis. Its description in RNAcentral is "bacterial SSU rRNA". It matches the Rfam family "Bacterial small subunit ribosomal RNA", at positions 55 to 806 of the family's 1533-position model. Lineage: Bacteria; Bacillati; Bacillota; Bacilli; Caryophanales; Bacillaceae. The record is from RNAcentral.
AUGCAGUCGAGCGAAUGGAUUAAGAGCUUGCUCUUAUGAAGUUAGCGGCGGACGGGUGAGUAACACGUGGGUAACCUGCCCAUAAGACUGGGAUAACUCCGGGAAACCGGGGCUAAUACCGGAUAACAUUUUGAACCGCAUGGUUCGAAAUUGAAAGGCGGCUUCGGCUGUCACUUAUGGAUGGACCCGCGUCGCAUUAGCUAGUUGGUGAGGUAACGGCUCACCAAGGCAACGAUGCGUAGCCGACCUGAGAGGGUGAUCGGCCACACUGGGACUGAGACACGGCCCCAGACUCCUACGGGAGGCAGCAGUAGGGAAUCUUCCGCAAUGGACGAAAGUCUGACGGAGCAACGCCGCGUGAGUGAUGAAGGCUUUCGGGUCGUAAAACUCUGUUGUUAGGGAAGAACAAGUGCUAGUUGAAUAAGCUGGCACCUUGACGGUACCUAACCAGAAAGCCACGGCUAACUACGUGCCAGCAGCCGCGGUAAUACGUAGGUGGCAAGCGUUAUCCGGAAUUAUUGGGCGUAAAGCGCGCGCAGGUGGUUUCUUAAGUCUGAUGUGAAAGCCCACGGCUCANCCGUGGAGGGUCAUUGGAAACUGGGAGACUUGAGUGCAGAAGAGGAAAGUGGAAUUCCCUGUGUAGCGGUGAAAUGCGUAGAGAUAUGGAGGAACACCAGUGGCGAAGGCGACUUUCUGGUCUGUAACUGACACUGAGGCGCGAAAGCGUGGGGAGCAAACAGGAUAGAUACCCUGGUAGUCCACCCCGUAAA